CAUCACUAUUUGGACACUGUCAAAGUCACUCACAUCUUUUCACUUGACCAUUUUUUCCUACUUUCAACAAAUGAAAUUGAAGAAUUGACCGUUUACUUGAUGCCCAAUAUAUUCCACCCCUUGACAGGUGCCAUUGUAACAAUAUAAUCAAUGUUAUUCACUUCAUCUGUCAGUGGUUUUAAUGUUGUGGCUGAUGAGUGUAUUCUACAUGGAUGUGCAAAUCCUUUCACAAAAUCCCCCCUCUGACGCCCCCUGUCUAACCCGAUCCAGACUUUCUG
This is a non-coding RNA of Pelobates cultripes (western spadefoot toad), 278 nucleotides long. NCBI's taxonomy places the organism in Eukaryota, Metazoa, Chordata, Amphibia, Anura, Pelobatidae. The record is from the annotation of a GenBank genome assembly.